AAGAUCUAAACACGAUCAGGGACACGUUUUCCAGACGCACCGCCACCGAUUGCAGCGCUUCCGGUUCACCAAAAGCGUGAAAUAAGUUGAGCUUUCAGCGCACCUCUGUCGUCGGACAUGUCUCAUGUUUUGAGGACUCUUGGCACAGGAGUUUUGGCCGUUCAAAGAUCAGUGUCCGCCGUGCAGCUCCUGAAGGUCGGCGCUCUGCAAAGGAGUUGCUGUGAUGCAGUGAAGGACAGCCAGAGUCCGCCGUUUGACGAGGCCCUGCUGGAGGUCCUGGUGUGUCCGCUGUCCAAAAAACCACUCAGGUACGACGGAAGCAGCAACGAACUGAUAAACGAAGAGCUUGGCAUCGCAUACCCCAUCAUUGAUGGCAUUCCUAACAUGAUCCCACAAGACGCACGAAUGAUCCACAAGACCAAAGCACCCGAAAAACCCUCAGAGUCAUAACUCAGAUUUGCCAUUAAUUAUUUAUUUUCCACCACAAUGUUUUUCUCCCUAUCAACAGUGACUGUACUUGUGCCACUUAUAUCUUUAACUGGACUGUUUUACUCUGCAGCUGUGGAUGAGAAUUUCCCACAAGGCUGCACGAGUGCAAGCAGCAUCUGUUUUUACAGCCUGCUUUUGCCCGUAACUAUUCCUGUGUAUGUGUUUUUUCACCUUUGGAAGUGGAUGGGAAUCAAAUUAUUUAGACACAAUUGAUUUCCUUCCACCUUUUAAUUAUGAACAAAACUUGCUUGUAAACAACGGACACUGAAGAUGUAGUCAAGAACAUUUACCUUGAAGCAAACGCUGAGCUCUUUUCUCAGCACUCUCCGUGAGCUUCAUCAAAGGACACAAGGGUUUCGGCGAAUCUUCACCCUUUACCUUAAAGUAGAAGCACUCAUUCAGGCGAGUCUGGAUGACCUUCAGAUGGGGGACAUCGCCUUUGGUUUUGGAUGCUAUUUCUCCUUCUUCGCUCGACGUAUCUGAGAUUUUGGUACGAUUGGCUGAAUUGAUAGUAGUUUGUUUUUGUCUUCUUCUGUUCGGCAAGCUCAAAUCUAUUGGUUCUUCUUCACAUCUGGACUUGUUCUGCUGCUGCUGAAACCUAAAAGAGGUGGAGAGUGCUGGAAAGGUGAAGAAGUUUUCUGUUUGAGUGGUCGCUUCAGUCGUCAAUGCACAUGAACGGAUCUCUGGUGGCCUUGUGCUAAUGGCUUCGUUGCCGCUUGAGCUGCUGGAAAUCUCCACCGGUGGAUCCAGGAAUGAUUUCUGCGUGAUAAACAGGUCUUGGCUGCUCAUUUCUUCAGCUAUAUUGUAUUCCAAGCUGCUUUCGACGAUAAACUGCUUCUUUGAAUAUUCAUCGUCACUUGUUUGGUCUUGCUCAGGAGGCAGGUUGAAGAUGACUCGCUUUUUUUCUUUCCCCACGUGUUUCUUGUGACAUUUGUUUUUGAUUGUUUGUGGUUUCUUCUGGACCGGAGAGAUGUAAAUGAUGGGUUGAGUUUGGUGGAGAUGUUUGGGUUGUUUUCGGACUUUAGGGUACUGGAGGUCUUUUUUUGCUUUCUUUGUCUUUUUGGUUUGUGUAGAGAGCAUCUCAUGCAAGCUGUAGUGUGUCAGGAAGUUUGCCACGUGCUUAUUUUUUUUCUUAUCCUUUUUUUCCUUCUUUGCCUUCUUUUUCUUGUGUUUAUGCUUCUUGAACACUGUAGCAUUUUCAAUGUUGGGAAUUAUGACUUUUGUUGAAGACAUUAUUUCUAUAAAACAGAGAGUAACAGUGUAAAGCUGUAGUUAGAUAUUAGCAAAAUCACCAAAAAGUCAUAUACAAUUUAGGCAUAAGACGAUAACCGGUUUUAAGGUUUACAGCGGUUUGGAAAAAUGAAGGUUUUACUUCACUGUCAUACAGUGAAACCGUGGUAUUUUUUUAUGGUAUAAAGUUAUCAUACCGUCACAAACUAGGCCCAUGCCUAAUCCAAAUAAGCUUGUUUCAUCAAGUGUGCAUUAAAGAAACCUUUUAUUAAAAAAUAUACAAAAACUUAAA
Molecule: non-coding RNA, 2011 nt
Organism: Danio rerio (zebrafish)
Lineage: Eukaryota; Metazoa; Chordata; Actinopteri; Cypriniformes; Danionidae
Source: RefSeq, a predicted model, not a curated record